GGGCGUUUAGCGCAGUGGUAGCGCGUAUGCUUUGCAGGCCCUGCAAUAAAGCGCAGAUCCUUAAGUUGUAUAAGGUCCAGGGUUCAAUCCCCUGAACGUCCA
Non-coding RNA from Amanita rubescens, 102 nucleotides. The record is from the annotation of a GenBank genome assembly. NCBI's taxonomy places the organism in Eukaryota, Fungi, Basidiomycota, Agaricomycetes, Agaricales, Amanitaceae.